AUAUUAAAAUCUUUCAAUUUCAUUUGCCUCAAAUCGCUACCCUAACAGGCUAACCCUUAUCUUCACUGUUCUGUGUUCGUUUGUUUAGUUGCAGAAAUGUCACAUUUUGGGAGAUCUGGUCCUCCAGAUAUCAGAGAUACAUACUCUCUUCUCGUUCUCAACAUAACCUUCCGAACCAGUGCAGAUGAUCUCUUCCCUCUGUUCGAUAAAUAUGGAAAGGUCGUCGACAUCUUUAUCCCGAGAGACAGAAGGACUGGGGAGUCACGAGGGUUUGCGUUUGUUCGGUAUAAGUAUGCGGACGAGGCACAGAAAGCAGUGGAAAAGCUCGACGGAAGGAAUGUCGAUGGCAGAGAGAUUAUGGUUCAAUUUGCAAAAUAUGGGCCAAACGCUGAACCAAUACAGAAAGGAAGGAUAGUGGAAGCACUUCCAAAGUCAAGAGGCAGGUCAAGAAGCCGUAGUCCCCGCCCAAGGUACCGAGAUGAUUACAGAGAUGGGGAUUACAGGAAGAGAAGUCGCAGUAGAAGUAGGGGUAGAUAUGAUCGUGACAGGUAUCGUCACAAUGAGAGGGAUUAUCGUCGUCAAACCAGGAGUCGCAGUGUAAGUCCUGAUUACCACCGAGGUCGUGGCAGAGGCAGGUAUGAUGAUGAGAGACGGAGAAGCCGCAACCGGUCUUAUGAGAGUCCUAGUCCUAAACGUAGUCCAUCUCCAAGGAAAACGCCUCCAUCUAGGGAUGGAAGUCCUGAUAGACGCAGCCAAGAUGAGCGUUCUUCAUCCCCUAGAAGUGCUUCCCCCCGGGAUCGAGCUGCUGCUUCUCGGAGCCCGUCUCCACUUAAUUCAGAUGCUGAUGAAUGAUGGAGUAGCAUGGCUUGUUCUGGCACUGAAUAUCAGUGAAUGUACCAUCUGUAGCUGUACUGCUACCGGAAAAGAGCUUUGUGGUCUUGCUUGUUCUAGCCAAAGUACUAGAUGCUAGUUUUGAUAGCCCUGGGCUUCAUUUGAAGUUACGUUCGUGAAAAGAAUUAAUGUGGCUGAUUGGCGAGAUGAUGAUAUUGUAGCUGUUGAUGCUGUUUUGUACUUGAUGGAUGAUGUUCGUUUUGAUGCUCGUUCCAAACAGUAGUAAUCUGGUGGUUCUCACCUCCUAAAAUGUUAAUCAAUUUGCUGUGAUGAUCCAAUUAUUGGUAAGAUUCAUGAUUCAAUUUUCUUUGUUUUAGCCUUAUAUCCAUCCGGAUUCUGCCAUUUUACCUGACCCCACUCCAUGGCUUCAAUGGUGGUUAAGUUUUGGGCCCUGAAAGGAGUAGUUGUAGCUGUGAUGAUGCGAGUGUCCUGGACCUGAUAUUCAAAUGUUGUUGCUGACUUGAGAAUGAGGCCUAUGUGCUGAGCUUGACCCUUCCAUUAUAACGUGGUCAACAGGGUAACAGAUGCAUGGUUGCUUAUUUUGUGUAGGGUUCUUGGUUUGACUUCAAGUCAUUUAAUGUCUAGUUAGUAGGAUAUUGACUUGUGUUGCAUCAUGUACUGAGAUGUGAUAGCAUGAAGUUGUGGCUGUAGCUGUGAAGCUGUAGCGGGUAAUAUUGGUAUCAGUGUUGAUAGCAUGAAGUUGUGGCUGUACCUGUGAAGUGGUAGCCGAUAUCCACUUAAUGCUGCUGUCUAUCGCAUUUCUA
This is an RNA transcript of Telopea speciosissima, 1655 nucleotides long. It is a transcript of the gene named serine/arginine-rich splicing factor SC35-like, with no coding region annotated. The transcript has 9 exons. NCBI's taxonomy places the organism in Eukaryota, Viridiplantae, Streptophyta, Magnoliopsida, Proteales, Proteaceae. The record is from RefSeq and is a predicted model, not a curated record.